UCCGGUGUAGUUUAGUUGGUUAUAAUACCCCCCCGGGCAAGGCCCUAGGCCGAGCUGGAAUGGGCGUGGGAGUCCCGAGUUCGAUCCUCGGCGCCGGAC
Molecule: non-coding RNA, 99 nt
Organism: Lophium mytilinum
Lineage: Eukaryota; Fungi; Ascomycota; Dothideomycetes; Mytilinidiales; Mytilinidiaceae
Source: the annotation of a GenBank genome assembly